UACGAAGGGUGCAAACGUUGCUCGGAAUUAUUGGGCGUAAAGCGCGUGUAGGCGGCUCUGCAAGUCGGAUGUGAAAUCCCACGGCUCAACCAUGGAAGUGCAUUCGAAACUGCAGGGCUAGAGUCCUGGAGAGGAAGGUGGAAUGCUUGGUGUAGAGGUGAAAUUCGUAGAUAUCAAGCGGAACACCGGUGGCGAAGGCGGCCUUCUGGACAGUGACUGACGCUGAGACGCGAAAGCGUGGGGAGCAAACAGG
Molecule: ribosomal RNA, 253 nt
Filed under: uncultured bacterium
Lineage: Bacteria
Description: partial 16S ribosomal RNA
Rfam family: Bacterial small subunit ribosomal RNA
Source: RNAcentral